AACGUAGGGGCCAAGCGUUAUCCGGAAUUACUGGGCGUAAAGCGCGUGUAGGCGGUGACUUAAGUCGGACGUGAAAGCUCCUGGCUCAACUGGGAGAGGCCGUUCGAAACUGGGUGACUAGAGGCUGGUAGAGGCGAGUGGAAUUCCCGGUGUAGUGGUGAAAUGCGUAGAUAUCGGGAGGAACACCAGUGGCGAAGGCGGCUCGCUGGGCCACGCCUGACGCUGAGACGCGAAAGCCAGGGGAGAGAACGGG
This 253-nucleotide unclassified non-coding RNA is filed under the name uncultured Anaerolineae bacterium. RNAcentral's name for it is "contains 16S-23S intergenic spacer region". It matches the Rfam family "Bacterial small subunit ribosomal RNA", at positions 524 to 776 of the family's 1533-position model. The record is from RNAcentral. Lineage: Bacteria; Bacillati; Chloroflexota; Anaerolineae.